AUUGAACGCUGGCGGAAUGCUUUACACAUGCAAGUCGAACGGCAGCACGGACUUCGGUCUGGUGGCGAGUGGCGAACGGGUGAGUAAUGUAUCGGAACGUGCCCAGUCGUGGGGGAUAACGUAGUGAAAAUUACGCUAAUACCGCAUACGAUCUAUGGAUGAAAGCGGGGGAUCGCACGCACUCGCGCGAUUGGAGCGGCCGAUAUCAGAUUAGGUAGGUGGUGGGGUAAAGGCCCAGCAAGCCAACGAUCUGUAGCUGGUCUGAGAGGACGACCAGCCACACUGGAACUGAGACACGGUCCAGACUCCUACGGGAGGCAGCAGUGGGGAAUUUUGGACAAUGGGCGAAAGCCUGAUCCAGCCAUUCCGCGUGCAGGAUGAAGGCCCUCGGGUUGUAAACUGCUUUUGUACAGAACGAAAAGGUUUCUACUAAUACUAGGAGCUCAUGACGGUACUGUAGGAAUAAGCACCGGCUAACUACGUGCCAGCCGCCGCGGUAA
Molecule: ribosomal RNA, 500 nt
Filed under: uncultured bacterium
Lineage: Bacteria
Description: partial 16S ribosomal RNA
Rfam family: Bacterial small subunit ribosomal RNA
Source: RNAcentral